CCUAACACAUGCAAGUCGAACGGUAACAUGACUAGCUUGCUAGUUGAUGACGAGUGGCGGACGGGUGAGUAACGCGUAGGAAUCUACCCAGUAGCGGGGGAUAAGCCAGAGAAAUUUGGUCUAAUACCGCAUACGCCCUUCGGGGGAAAGCAGGGGAUCUUCGGACCUUGCACUAUUGGAUGAGCCUGCGUGAGAUUAGCUUGUAGGUGAGGUAAUGGCUCACCAAGGCGACGAUCUCUAGCUGGUCUGAGAGGAUGAUCAGCCACACUGGAACUGAGACACGGUCCAGACUCCUACGGGAGGCAGCAGUGGGGAAUAUUGCACAAUGGGCGCAAGCCUGAUGCAGCCAUGCCGCGUGUGUGAAGAAGGCCCUAGGGUUGUAAAGCACUUUCAGCAGUGAGGAAAGGCUAGUAGUUAAUACCUGCUAGCUGUGACGUUAACUGCAGAAGAAGCACCGGCUAACUCCGUGCCAGCAGCCGCGGUAAUACGGAGGGUGCGAGCGUUAAUCGGAAUUACUGGGCGUAAAGCGCGCGUAGGUGGAUUGGUCAGUCAGAUGUGAAAGCCCAGGGCUCAACCUUGGAACUGACCUGAUACUGCCAAUCUAGAAUACGGUAGAGGGUA
This 621-nucleotide ribosomal RNA is filed under the name uncultured bacterium. RNAcentral describes it as "bacterial SSU rRNA". It matches the Rfam family "Bacterial small subunit ribosomal RNA", at positions 47 to 660 of the family's 1533-position model. The record is from RNAcentral.